GGGGUCCUCAUCCCGGAACUACGCUUUUUUUCUGAAAGCGGAAGAUGGGCGAGCCGGGCAGUAGAGACGCUUUCUGAAGGGGGUAGAACGGUUCGAGGUUUCGCGGACUGUUUACCUCCAGGGGUCGUUCGUGAGUCAGAGAAACCGGGCCUUUGGAGGGAGAGGGCCUGGCGACAGUCCUUCUGCGCUUGGCUGUGCAGCGUUCUGGCUGCUUCUGCCCGGCGCCACGAGGCCCGCCCCGGCGCUACCCUCGCCCUGCCUGCCCCGGCUCUGUCGGCCUGCGGGCGCUGCAGCCUCUCUCCCGCCGCCGGCGUGUCUGGAAAUGGAGGCCCAUAGCUAGAAGGUCCCGGGUACCCUUUGUUCCCAACCCUGCCUUGCCCGUCUUCCUCUGGGAAUUAGUGAGACCUUGGCCCUAAGGGCGUAACCCCCCGUGGCUCCACGUGGGGGUCCCAUAGCUCUUCUGCUACUUCCGGCAGUGGCUGAGGGAGUCGAAGCUGUGGGUAGUGAGGACAGGUGUGGACAGUAGCAGGGAGGGGAAGGUCUGUGGUUCCUGACGUGCUGCCUCUGUUCCCAAGAAGAUAACUUUCCUAUGGCCCUUGCCCUCUGGCUAGUUAUGGCCCGUCCACCACGUGUCCUCAAAUGCCUGGACUCUGGAGAAAGGCAGCCUCCUUCCUCAGACCCCACGACGCUUGUCGGUCCCACUACCUGUUUUCACCUUUCCCCUCGGAGGCCACCUAGAGCACCUGGCUAGAAAUGGGAGCAACUGGUGGGAUUGGGAUUGAGAUAGGGAGUCUGCAGCAUUUGGAGGGAAGGAGUGGACUAAGAUGGAACUGCAGAACAUUUGAGGCACUGAAAGUUACUGGGGCAAAAUGGGAGGGUCAGGGAGCAGGGGUGAGGGAGCGAGGGAAUGAGACCCAUCAUCUCUGUAUGUCUCAAAAGGAAGAAACUUACGUGUCUCUGAGCAGGCAGAUGAGGAACGCAUUUUUCAGAGCUCUGGUUCUCUGUGAGACACACAACCCAUAGUAAUUUAGUUUUGUUCCAAACGUGUUAAGUGAAGUGCACACCUCCCUAUUUGUUCCUAAGGAGCUACAGCUACUGGUAACUUCUACAAGACAGAGGUCCUGUUGCUACCCUGUGUGACAGAAUGGGAAGUACGCAUGAAGCAGGCUUGCUGCAUACCAAGCCUUUGUGUCAUAUGGCACCUACCCACCCCUACUGCUGCGCGGGCUCCUGUGGGGAGACACUAGAGCCCUUCAUCUGCGGCACAGGCGGAGUGCGUGCAGACCCUGCGUGCUGGCCGCGGGGGACACUCACUGCUGAUGCUGGUCUCACCCUGUCUCUUCUCUGUGUGAGGAAAGUUCGAGACAUCUGUUGAGGCUGCGGCCAUCUGAAGGCUUGACUGGACCUGGAGAAUCUGCUUCCAAGAGGUGCACUCACGUGGCUGUUGGCAGGAGGUGUCACUGGACGGACCUCUCCACGGGGCUUUGACGAUGCGCACAGCUUGGCAGCCAGCUUCUCCCAGAGCAAGUGAUCAGAGAGAGGGAGCAAGAUAGAAGCCUCAGUGUCUUUUAUGAUCUACCCUCAGAAGUCAUGCUCUGUAAUUUCCACCACGUUCUAUUCAUUAGAGUGAGUCACAUGUACAGGCCACACUCAAAGAGAGGGAAAUUAAGCUCCACCUCUUAAAGGGAAGAGUACCGAAGAAUACGUGGACAUGUUUCAAUAACACUACACUUAGUGAACCAAUAUUUUCCAAAUGACUGUGUGAUGUUACAAUGCCAUGAUGCACAGAUAAAAAAUCUAUUCUAAUUGCAAGAUAGCCCCAUGGAUUUUUAAUGUAACAGAGUAGGAAACAUUCAUUGAUGUAGUUUUAGAUCCCACAUUGCUUCUGACCUUUAAGAAGCUAUCAUUUGUUGAGUUCUGGUGUAGGAUCAGAGAAGAGUAUCCACAAUUAUCUGAAAAGGCUAUCAAAAUACUCCCCUUAUUUCCAACUACGUAUCCCUGUGAGGCCAAAUUUUUGUCAUAUACUGACAACAGCAUUAGAAUAGACCGGAAUGCAGAGGCAGAUAGGAGAAUCCAGCUCUCUUCUGUUAAGCCAGACAGAGAUUUGCAAAAAUGUACAACAGAGUGGCUCUUCUCACUAAUUAUUUUUGUUUUAGAAAAUGUGUUUUUCUUAAAAAGUGUGUGUGUGUGUGUGUACUAACAUGUAUUGGAUUUAUUAUUGUAAUUUGUAAAUGAAUUAAAUAUUUUUAAAUUUUCUCAGUUUCUAAUAUGGUAUUAUCACUAGAUGUAACCCAUAUAAACGAAGGCUCUUUGGGUCCUCAGUAAUUUUUAAGAAUGUAAAGGAGUCCUGAGACCACAAAGUUCUGAGAUCACUUAUCUGAGCAAUCGGAUGGCUCUGUUACCCUCAAAUAAUAGUUUAGGGAUGGGCAUGUGGUGCGACUUUGGCCAAUGACAUGUGAGGUGAAGGUGUUGUGUUCAGUUUUCAGUUUAGGGUAUUAAAUAGAAGCGUACAUGGGGUCUUCUAAAAGAUUGGUCAGGUUCUAUUUCUCAAGCUAGGUGAUUUAUAUGUGAUAUUUACCGGCUUCUUUAUCUCUUACAUAUUAAAUUAUUUGGGGUGUGAAAUAUUUUAUAACAAAAAACACAGAACACGUGGCAGAGAAGAUUCCCCUUCCUCUAUGGAAGCAUCAUGUCUGUUUUGCAGCGUAUUCAGCUUGUACAUUGGGCCUGAGUCUGCAUUGUUUGGCUCUAAAGGAUUUUCUGUGCAUUUCGUGGCUGAGUCUGUGUCUGCAACAUAUUUGUGAUAUUUGACUUGUAACCUGAGAGUCCCCAGACCUCCAGCCACGUAUGCAAUCUCACUGCAUUCACAAGGCUACCAGUUCAAGUCAUAUAAAGUCCCUCAUAAAGAAACCUUCUCUGCUUCUGGCUCAGUCCCUCUCCCUUGUGUCCCCUAGGAUCAGGCAGGAUACCAACGUCUGUCAUACAUCACAUCAUCUGCCAGGUUCUCUCACCUACACCGCCCUAAGAGUAAAUAUAUCUACUGGGACAGCCAGCCCACCAGUUCUGCAAACUGCCACACUCUGAAUCCAUGUUAGAUACCUUUUAGGAACUUGUGAGAGCCCCUCUAAAUGGAUCCGC
Molecule: long non-coding RNA, 3135 nt
Organism: Equus caballus (horse)
Lineage: Eukaryota; Metazoa; Chordata; Mammalia; Perissodactyla; Equidae
Source: Ensembl